Molecule: ribosomal RNA, 206 nt
Filed under: Klebsiella pneumoniae
Lineage: Bacteria; Pseudomonadati; Pseudomonadota; Gammaproteobacteria; Enterobacterales; Enterobacteriaceae
Description: partial 23S ribosomal RNA
Rfam family: Bacterial large subunit ribosomal RNA
Source: RNAcentral
CAGUCAGAGGCGAUGAAGGACGUGCUAAUCUGCGAAAAGCGUCGGUAAGGUGAUAUGAACCGUUAUAACCGGCGAUGUCCGAAUGGGGAAACCCAGUGUGAUUCGUCACACUAUCGUUAACUGAAUACAUAGGUUAACGAGGCGAACCGGGGGAACUGAAACAUCUAAGUACCCCGAGGAAAAGAAAUCAACCGAGAUUCCCCCAG